CAUUAUAUAAGUCUAGUAUAGUGAAUUUAAUAUUUUUUAGUAUUUUUUUUUUUUACGUAAUAAUUUUUCAUAAUUUUAUUUUAAAAUUAUGUAGUUCAACCAGAGAAGUCGAUAUAAAUGAAUACCUACAAAAUUCGUUUUUUUUUUUUGGCGAUCAAUUUAACCGGCCACCAAUUUGCAGCCAUUCAACGGCGAUCAAUUGUAUAAUUGUACAAUUGAUACCUAUCGACCCAAAAGAAAUAUAUGAAGAACUAAAAAUGUUUUGUCUAACCAUAUAGUUCUCGAAACAAAAAU
Cinara cedri is the source of this 294-nucleotide non-coding RNA. The record is from the annotation of a GenBank genome assembly. Lineage: Eukaryota; Metazoa; Arthropoda; Insecta; Hemiptera; Aphididae.